UAGUGGCGGACGGGUGAGUAACGCGUGGGUACCUGCCUCAUACAGGGGGAUAGCAGCUGGAAACGGCUGAUAAAACCGCAUAAGAUCGCAUGAUAAAAACUCCGGUGGUAUGAGAUGGACCCGCGUCUGAUUAGCUGGUUGGUGAGGUAACGGCCCACCAAGGCGACGAUCAGUAGCCGGCCUGAGAGGGUGACCGGCCACAUUGGGACUGAGACACGGCCCAAACUCCUACGGGAGGCAGCAGUGGGGAAUAUUGCACAAUGGGGGAAACCCUGAUGCAGCGACGCCGCGUGAAGGAAGAAGUAUCUCGGUAUGUAAACUUCUAUCAGCAGGGAAGAUAAUGACGGUACCUGACUAAGAAGCCCCGGCUAACUACGUGCCAGCAGCCGCGGUAAUACGUAGGGGGCAAGCGUUAUUCGGAUUUACUGGGUGUAAAGGGAGCGUAGGCGGCGGAGCAAGUCAGAAGUGAAAGCCGGGGCUCAACCCCGGGACGGCUUUGAAACUGCCCUGCUCGAUUUCAGGAGAGGUAAGCGGAGUUCCUAGUGUAGCGGUGAAAUGCGUAGAUAUUAGGAGGAACACCAGUGGCGAAGGCGGCUUACUGGACU
Molecule: ribosomal RNA, 605 nt
Filed under: uncultured bacterium
Lineage: Bacteria
Description: bacterial SSU rRNA
Rfam family: Bacterial small subunit ribosomal RNA
Source: RNAcentral